Molecule: ribosomal RNA, 495 nt
Filed under: uncultured bacterium
Lineage: Bacteria
Description: partial 16S ribosomal RNA
Rfam family: Bacterial small subunit ribosomal RNA
Source: RNAcentral
ACUCAAAUGAAUUGACGGGGGCCCGCACAAGCGGCGGAGCAUGCGGAUUAAUUCGAUGCAACGCGAAGAACCUUACCUGGGUUUGACAUACACCGGAAAGCCGUAGAGAUACGGCCCCUUUUAGUCGGUGUACAGGUGGUGCAUGGCUGUCGUCAGCUCGUGUCGUGAGAUGUUGGGUUAAGUCCCGCAACGAGCGCAACCCUCGUCCUAUGUUGCCAGCAAUUCGGUUGGGGACUCAUAGGAGACUGCCGGGGUCAACUCGGAGGAAGGUGGGGAUGACGUCAAGUCAUCAUGCCCCUUAUGUCCAGGGCUUCACGCAUGCUAAAAUGGCCGGUACAAAGGGCUGCGAUCCCGCGAGGGUGAGCGAAUCCCAAAAAGCCGGUCUCAGUUCGGAUUGGGGUCUGCAACUCGACCCCAUGAAGUCGGAGUCGCUAGUAAUCGCAGAUCAGCAACGCUGCGGUGAAUACGUUCCCGGGCCUUGCACACACCGCCCGU